RNAcentral lists this ribosomal RNA (254 nucleotides) under uncultured bacterium. Its description in RNAcentral is "partial 16S ribosomal RNA". It matches the Rfam family "Bacterial small subunit ribosomal RNA", at positions 524 to 772 of the family's 1533-position model. The record is from RNAcentral.
UACGUAGGUGGCGAGCGUUAUCCGGUAUUUAGUUAGGGUUUAAGGGUGCGUAGGCGGCUGAUUAAGUCAGCGGUGAAAGGUAGCAGCUUAACUUGUUUUACAUGCCGUUGAUACUGGUUAGCUUGAGUUGACAGAAGGCAGAUAGAAUUUCUGGUGUAGCGGUGAAAUGCUUAGAUACCAGGAGGAAUACCGAUUGCGAAGGCAGUCUGCUGCAGUCACACUGACGCUGAGGCACGAAAGUNCGGGGGAUCAAA